GUCUGUGAGGAGCAGCCCAGGAUGAGAGCAGACAGCAUACAGAGCACUGCAGACACCAUUGUAACUGGUCUCGGCAUCGCUGUGGCUCCGCCGUCGGUCCCCACCUUGCAAGCUGUCACCAACCCCACCAGCGACAGCCUGCCUCCCCCUCCUCCCCCUGCUUCGGACGUGGACCCCAGUAUGCCUUCUCCUCCACCACCACCUCCCCCUUCCUCCAUGGACAAUGGCCUCCCCCCUCCGCCCACCUUGACCUCACCCACAAGUCUACCCCCACCUCCCCCUCCACCAUCAAAUGGUUUCUACGUGCCUCCGCCUCCCCCCGUAGCAGGAGGUGCCCCAAUUCCUCCUCCACCACCCCCACCUCAAACAUUAUUUGGAGCUGGUACUCUUCCCCCUCCGCCUCCUCCUCCACCAGUGUCAGGAGCCGCGCCGCCUCCUCCUCCUCCUCCUCCACCGCCCCUUCAUACUGGCACAUCAGGUACUGUGCCACCUCCCCCUCCCCUGUAUUAA
Molecule: long non-coding RNA, 510 nt
Filed under: Scophthalmus maximus (turbot)
Lineage: Eukaryota; Metazoa; Chordata; Actinopteri; Pleuronectiformes; Scophthalmidae
Description: lncRNA (ENSSMAG00000024138.1)
Source: RNAcentral